UAGGAUUGCUUCUGAAAAGUGAUUCUGUGCCCAAAACUAAUUUUAGGCUCAGUAGAGUGUUUGACAACAAGUGCUGAAAAUUUUGAUUUUGCUUCCCAGAAUCAGAAAACUGAUUUUAAAGGCUUCAGAAUCAGAAACAGAAAAAACCUACUUCUAGAAAUCUGAUUCUGAUUUUAGAGUCAAACUUUAAAAUUUUAUUUUAAUUUUAAAUUCAAAGUUUAAAUUUAAAUUUCAUUAUAAUUUUUAAAUUUUAAGUUCAUUUUUGAAUUUUUAAAUUUCAAAAUUUCAAAUCUAAAUAUUAAAAUUUAGAUUUUAAACUAAUUAAAUUUUAAAUUCAUAUUUGAAUUUUUUAAAUUUCAACUUUUCAAAUCUAAAUAUUAAAAUUUAGAUUUUAAACUUUAAAUUUUAUAUUUUAUAUUUUAAAUUUAAAUUUCAAAUCUUACAUUUUAAAUUUUAAAAUUUUAAAUUUUAAAUUUCAAAUUUAAGAUAAAAUUUAAAAAGUUGACAUUUUAGAUUUUAAAUUUUAAAUUCAAAAAUUUAAAAUUUAAAAUUUAAAAUUUAAAAUUUUAAAAUUACAAGCUUUAGUCUUAAAAUUAUAAAUUUCAAAAUUUUAAAUUAAUAAAAAUAAAAUUUUAAAUUUCUAAAAUUGAAAUUUUAAAAUUUCAAAAUAAAAGUUUCAAAUUUUUAAAUUUAAAUUUUAAAUAUUCAAUUUUUAAAUUUUAAAUUUCAAAUUUCAAAAUUUAAAUUUAAAAUUUAAAGUUAAAUUUUUGAAUAUUUAAAAUUUGAAUAUUAAAUUUGAAUUUCAAAUUUAUAUUUUUAAAUUUUAAAUUUCAUAAUUAUUUUAAUUUUUAAAUUUAUAGAAUUUUAAAUUAUUUUUUAAAUUGAAAUAUAAAAUUUUAAAUUUUGUACAAUUUUGAAAUUUAAAAAUUUUAAUUUUAAUUCAAGUUCGAAUUUAAAUUUAAAUUUAAAUUUAUUUUAAAAUAAAAUUUAAUAAAAAUAUUAAUUUAAAUAAAUAUCAAAAAAAUUUUGCCAAACAGUUUUACAAAAUCAUUUUAGAAAAAUAGCACUUGUGUAAAAUCACCCAAACGCUUUACAGCUUUUAACCAAAACUACUUUUUCAGACCAAAAUCAAUUCUGCAGAAAUUACUUUUCUAGAAUCUUAGCCCAAAUGGGCCCUUAGUCGUUGGAUUAAAUUUUUUUUUUUUUUCCUGUUAUGAUAAAUAGUGCUGAAGCACAACUCUUUAUCUUAUUCAUCAAACAUAAC
Molecule: long non-coding RNA, 1264 nt
Filed under: Ananas comosus (pineapple)
Lineage: Eukaryota; Viridiplantae; Streptophyta; Magnoliopsida; Poales; Bromeliaceae
Description: long non-coding RNA (ACOM_LNC024145)
Source: RNAcentral